UUCGCAAUGCCCGAAAGGGUGACGAAGCGACGCCGCGUGUGGGAAGAAGGCCUUCGGGUUGUAAACCACUGUCGGGAGUUAAGAAAUGUAAGGGUGUUAAUAGUAUCCUUACUUGACUAAGGCUCCGGAGGAAGCCACGGCUAACUCUGUGCCAGCAGCCGCGGUAAUACAGAGGCGGCAAGCGUUGUUCGGAAUUAUUGGGCGUAAAGAGCACGUAGGCGGCCUUGCAAGUCAGUUGUGAAAGCCUUCUGCUUAACGGAAGAACAGCAGCUGAUACUGCAAGACUAGAGUGCGGAAGGGGAGAGUGGAACUUCUGGUGGAGCGGUGAAAUGCGUAGAUAUCAGAAGGAACACCGGCGGCGAAGGCGACUCUCUGGUCCGUAACUGACGCUGAGUGUGCGAAAGCUAGGGGAGCAAACGGGAUUAGAUACCCCGGUAGUCCUAGCCGUAAACGAUGGGCACUAAGUAGAGGGGUUUUA
Molecule: ribosomal RNA, 478 nt
Filed under: uncultured Planctomycetales bacterium
Lineage: Bacteria; Pseudomonadati; Planctomycetota; Planctomycetia; Planctomycetales
Description: bacterial SSU rRNA
Rfam family: Bacterial small subunit ribosomal RNA
Source: RNAcentral